CUGUAGUAAUUCUAGAGCUAAUACAUGCCACAAUGCCCUAAGCUUCCGGCUCUGGGUGGAUUUAUUAGAACAGAACCAAUCGGUAGCUUCGGUUACCGUUAAUUGGUGAUGACUCUGGAUAACUUUACUGAUCGCAUUGUCGUAAGACGGCGACGGAUCCUUCAAAUGGCUGCCCUAUCACACUUUCGAUGGUAGGUGACCUGCCUACCAUGGUGCUGACGGGUAACGGGGAAUCAGGGUUCGAUUCCGGAGAGGGAGCCUGAGAAAUGGCUACCACAUCCAAGGAAGGCAGCAGGCGCGCAAAUUACCCAAUCCCAGAACGGGGAGGUAGUGACGAAAAAUACGGAGACGGGACCUAUUCUAGGCCUCCGACAUCCGAAUGAGUACAUUUUAAAGCCUUUAACGAGGAACAACUGGAGGGCAAGCCUGGUGCCAGCAGCCGCGGUAACUCCAGCUCCAGAAGCGUAUAUUAAAGUUGUUGCAGUUAAAAAGCUCGUAGUUGGAUCUGGGUUUAUGACUUGUUGCCGUGUUUAGCUUCAGUUCACUUUCAUCUAGUGGCUGUAUGUUAACCGGUGACUGCGUCGUGUAACCUUUCUGCCGUUUCUGUUACCUUAACGGGUUCAGAUGCUUGCAACUUCGGUUGUAAUGCAUGUUUUCAAUUGCCCUUUAUUGGGUGGUUGUUACGGACGGCUAUUUUACUUUGAACAAAUUUGAGUGCUCAAAGCAGGCCAAUGUGCCUGAAAAGUCUUGCAUGGAAUAAUGAAAUAGGACUUCAGUUCUAUUUUGUUGGUUUUCGGAAUUGAAGUAAUGGUUAAGAGGGACAAACGGGGGCAUUUGUAUGGCGGCGUUAGAGGUGAAAUUCUGGGAUCGUCGCCAGACAAACUACAGCGAAAGCAUUUGCCAAGGAUGUUUUCAUUGAUCAUGAGCGAAAGUCAGAGGAUCGAAGACGAUCAGAUACCGUCCUAGUUCUGACCAUAAACUAUGCCAACUGACGAUCCG
RNAcentral lists this ribosomal RNA (999 nucleotides) under Stomachicola muraenesocis. Its description in RNAcentral is "SSU rRNA". It matches the Rfam family "Eukaryotic small subunit ribosomal RNA", at positions 147 to 1056 of the family's 1831-position model. Lineage: Eukaryota; Metazoa; Platyhelminthes; Trematoda; Azygiida; Hemiuridae. The record is from RNAcentral.